GUCUAGCAGCCUUUUGAGCUGUGUCCCUGUGAGAUGCUGUGGGAGGGAGGGCUCAAAACAGUGUGUAAGGCCAGGAGCUCAGCUGUUAAUUUAAAGAAAAGCCUUUAGUUUCUGGAGCAAGAAAACUGUAAGAGCUAUAGUAACAUCUGGAGCUUUCUUGGUUCAAAGAAGGUUUUUCUGCAUUUCAGAAAGGAUUAUGUGCAUGCACAGAAAGCAGUUCCAGUGGUGUUACUGGAGCAAGGUCUCAUCCAAAGACUCUCAGAUUCCACACUUGGUGACUCAGAAAGUAGCACCCACGUCACAGGCUUUUACAGCAGUGAUAUCCACACCUGAGGGAGUUCCCUGCACCUUCCUUAUGGCAGAACAGACAAGAUUGGCAAUGUUUCACAUAAUCACUGAUUUCGCUGAAGCUUUGACAGCAUUAUCAAGGGCUUUUAAUAUUUUUGAUUUUAUAUGAAUCCCAUAAAACAUCCAAACACCAGGAUGUAAACAAAAGACUUCAAGAAGCUUAGUUUUGAUAUUUCUGUUACAUUCCAAAUUUGGAAUGAAAGGAGGUAUGAAAUAAUCACCUCUCCCAGGAAAAUGUGACAUCUCACACAGCUCUGACCAUUCUUGCAUUAGUCUCAAGGAUCUCUGCUGAUGGACAAGUCUCCCCCUGCACUCAGUGGUGCUGCAAAACGUCCAGCAAACCUGCCACAAAGGGAAUUCUCAUUCACAUCCUCCUGGAUGCUCAGAGUCAUCUUCCAGGGCAGCAGCACCAAUUGCCAAUACCAUCUUUUGGGAGAGUACCUUCUGAAGCACACUGAUGGAAAGGUAAAGGUCUGCUGUUACUGCUCAAAUAACAUGAACACAUCUCUGACAAGUGGGUAGGCCUUACCUUCAUCUUUUAGAAGAGAAAACAAAAAGCACAUGCAAACUGUUUUCUUUUGAAGAGAACAUGGAUGUUGAAGAAAUGAGAGAGUUCUUGUUAAAAGAGAGCUCUCUCAUAUUGCACUAGUACCUUAGGCUGCAAUGCAAGAUGUAACUGAAAGUAUGUAACUGAAAGUAUGUAUCUUCUGUUAAAGCCGAGUAGGGCAGUGCUCUUUGUCUUCCCCACCAUCCACCCUCCAGGGGGAUAGCUUCUGUUAAUGGGCCAUUGAGUGCCACUGCAUGGCUGACAAAAUCACAUCAUCCCAUUGUGAGAUGCUCUGCCCAGGGGGAAGAGGCAAGCAUUCCUAACUGGAUAUAACCCGAGAUUUAGAACACCACCUUCAGCCUUUCCCACAGGAUUCCCAGAGGAAGACUGAACCAUCUGCACCACCACUGGACCUUCAGAGAACUGUACCCUGGUUCUGCAGAAUCCCUGCUUCAGCAGAACUGCAUUUGUCACUCCAGGAGGACUGCAGCCACCAUUUAAUCAGACUGCUACCAACACCCUGACCAACAGGGUGUCAGGUUAUAUUCUGACUGUCAGUAGGUUUUUUUUUGGUUGGUUGGUUUUUUUGUACUACUGCAUUUUGAUUUUAAUUUUCCUAAUAAAGAACUGUUAUUCCUAUUCCCA
RNAcentral lists this long non-coding RNA (1540 nucleotides) under Junco hyemalis (dark-eyed junco). RNAcentral's name for it is "lncRNA (ENSJHYG00000002803.1)". The record is from RNAcentral. Lineage: Eukaryota; Metazoa; Chordata; Aves; Passeriformes; Passerellidae.